CGGCAAGUCUUAUACGACCAGCUCCUGCUCAACUCCCCCAGGAUCGGAAGAUAGCAAGGGUAAUGCGGUUGAGCGGUGCGAUGUAAGUAACUUGCCAUUU
This 100-nucleotide signal recognition particle RNA is filed under the name Chitinophagaceae bacterium. RNAcentral's name for it is "signal recognition particle sRNA small type". It matches the Rfam family "Bacteroidales small SRP", at positions 9 to 102 of the family's 107-position model. Rfam says of the family: The non-coding component of the signal recognition particle in Bacteroides Lineage: Bacteria; Pseudomonadati; Bacteroidota; Chitinophagia; Chitinophagales; Chitinophagaceae. RNAcentral also lists the same sequence under 2 other names. The record is from RNAcentral.